ACGAGUAGAAAAGAAGAUCUGUGUGCGGAUGUGAGCCUGUUCUGUGUUUCUCCUUGCAAAGGAAAAAUUAGGACUGUAUACAGUGUGAAGCCUCUAAAUUGCAUCUUUCAGUUGUCAGGCUUUUAGGCUGAUAAUGGCCUAAUGGUUUGUCCCUAAGACACUCACCCCUGACCAUCCAAAUGGCAGGAACUGCCCCUCAGCCCAGUUUUCUCCAUUGACGUAGAAGAGCCCAGCGAUCAUCAUGAAGAUCCACACAGCCAGGUUAAUCACAUUAAGGACAUUGUUAAAUCCCACAGAGUUCUUCACCCCCAAAGCAACUAUGAUGGUGACAAUGACAGCAAUGACCAAAGCUAGCAGAUCUGGGUAUGAUUCUUCUCCUUUACCUGUGAAAAGAAAAAUUAUCUGUGAGUUUUAACCCAGGCAGUGGAGGGAAAGAAUGUCCAAGAAAGGAACUUACAGAAAACUGCCAAUUUAUCUUUAAGAUGCUCAGGUUUCACUGAGGAAAGCUGGUCUAAGGAAGGAGAGCUGGUUUUGUUGUAGCAAGCAUGAAUUUCCCCCUUUGCUAAGCAGGGUCUGCCCUCAUUUGCAUGUGGAUGGCUAUCUAUCUAUUUAUCAUGAGAGUGCAUCAGUAUAAUCUUCGGGAGAGGAGUUCAAAUCCCAGCUCACUUAUAAGAUUCAGUUGGUGGCUCUUUGAAAACCAGUCUCUGAAAGCUUCCCAUGUUUAAAAUGAAAGUGACGAGUUAUUUUCUCUCAUGAGCUGUAAGUUCUAACACUUCCCUAUUACCUUGUGGCCAGAUGUCUCUUCCAGAAAUCCAAUUAUUUUGCACCUAAGUCAAUUUGUGUAUGUGACAGGAAUACAACUUCUUGCUUAUCAGCCUAUUCAACAUUCAUGCAGACAGCAAAGCCGACGCUCCAGAUUUUUUAAGUGACCAGAGCUGCCAGCAAGAGGUCCUAACAUGGUUCUGCAAUAUUUAUUUCUGUUAAGGAUUAGUUUUGCCCAAUUUGGCAUGAUUGUAGGUUAUUUUGUUUUUUUGUCAGGAAUAAAA
Long non-coding RNA from Hemicordylus capensis (graceful crag lizard), 1046 nucleotides. RefSeq lists it as uncharacterized. The record is from RefSeq and is a predicted model, not a curated record. NCBI's taxonomy places the organism in Eukaryota, Metazoa, Chordata, Lepidosauria, Squamata, Cordylidae. The transcript has 4 exons.